This 497-nucleotide ribosomal RNA is filed under the name uncultured bacterium. Its description in RNAcentral is "partial 16S ribosomal RNA". It matches the Rfam family "Bacterial small subunit ribosomal RNA", at positions 28 to 507 of the family's 1533-position model. The record is from RNAcentral.
GAUGAACGCUGGCGGCGUGCCUAAUACAUGCAAGUCGAGCGAACAGACGAGGAGCUUGCUCCUCUGACGUUAGCGGCGGACGGGUGAGUAACACGUGGAUAACCUACCUAUAAGACUGGGAUAACUUCGGGAAACCGGAGCUAAGACCGGAUAAUAUAUUGAACCGCAUGGUUCAAUAGUUAAAGACGGUUUUGCUGUCACUUAUAGAUGGAUCCGCGCCGCAUUAGCUAGUUGGUAAGGUAACGGCUUACCAAGGCGACGAUGCGUAGCCGACCUGAGAGGGUGAUCGGCCACACUGGAACUGAGACACGGUCCAGACUCCUACGGGAGGAAGCAGUAGGGAAUCUUCCGCAAUGGGCGAAAGCCUGACGGAGCAACGCCGCGUGAGUGAUGAAGGUCUUCGGAUCGUAAAACUCUGUUAUUAGGGAAGAACAAAUGUGUAAGUAACUAUGCACGUCUUGACGGUACCUAAUCAGAAAGCCACGGCUAACUACGUG